This 192-nucleotide unclassified non-coding RNA is filed under the name uncultured fungus. RNAcentral describes it as "sequence contains ITS1, 5.8S rRNA gene". Lineage: Eukaryota; Fungi. The record is from RNAcentral.
ACGUAUCUCUGACGGGGUGCGGUGCGCCCAGCUCCGGUCCAAAAGGCCGUGCAGCGGGAGCCCGUCCCUGUUCAACCUCACAAACCCACUGUGAACCUUCACGGCGGACGGAGGGCGACCUCCCGAUGCCGCAUACACCAACUCCAGUUGUAAAGAAUGUCAUGCGGACUUAGUGCCGUCUAAAACACAAAA